AACUUUUAACAAUGGAUCUCUUGGUUCUGGCAACGAUGAAGAACGCAGCGAAAUGCGAUAAGUAAUGUGAAUUGCAGAAUUUAGUGAAUCAUCGAAUCUUUGAACGCACAUUGCGCCCCCUGGCAUUCCGGGGGGCACACCUGUUCGAGCGCCAUUUCUACCCUGGAGCCCUGCUCUGUGAUGGGCCCCGUCCUCGCGGACGGGCCCGAAACCCGUGGGCGCCGUCGUCCGGUCCCGAGCGUAGCAAGAGAAAUCCCUCGCUCGGAGCGCCAGGCGGUGGCCGCCCCGACCCAUUUUUACAAGGUUGGCCUCGGAUCAGGUGGGGAUACCCGCUGAACUUAAGCAUAUCAAUAAGCGGAGGCU
Molecule: unclassified non-coding RNA, 363 nt
Filed under: uncultured Venturiaceae
Lineage: Eukaryota; Fungi; Ascomycota; Dothideomycetes; Venturiales; Venturiaceae
Description: sequence contains ITS2
Rfam family: 5.8S ribosomal RNA (bases 1-154)
Source: RNAcentral